Small nuclear RNA from Heterocephalus glaber (naked mole-rat), 133 nucleotides. Its record names the gene U2. It matches the Rfam family "U2 spliceosomal RNA". From Rfam's summary of the family: U2 is a small nuclear RNA (snRNA) component of the spliceosome (involved in pre-mRNA splicing). Complementary binding between U2 snRNA (in an area lying towards the 5' end but 3' to hairpin I) and the branchpoint sequence (BPS) of the intron results the bulging out of an unpaired adenosine, on the BPS, which initiates a nucleophilic attack at the intronic 5' splice site, thus starting the first of two transesterification reactions that mediate splicing. Lineage: Eukaryota; Metazoa; Chordata; Mammalia; Rodentia; Bathyergidae. The record is from Ensembl.
AUCACUUCUCGGCCUUUUGGCUAAGAUCAAGUGUAGUAUAUUUUUCUUCAAGCUUACCUUUUAAUUUAAAGGUACUCUAUUAAAUUAAAGCCAGUAUUAUCUUGCUAUAAAUGCAAGAUAAAUGUAAAGCUAA